AAAAAUUACUUGCGUGGAUGUGGGAUAGGCUUGCAACCCUCUUCAACAGUUUCCAGUGCGGCACGAGCACGUGAUAAACAUAUGGAGUCAAUGAGAGCGGAACUAGAGGUUCUUCGUGAGGAGCAUCAAAGAGAUCACGAGGAGUUGCUGAAGGAGAAAGAGGAGCGCCAAAGAGAUCAUGAGGAGUUGGUCAAGGAGAAAAAGGAGCGCCAAAGAGAUAGGGAGGAAAUUAUGAGAGAAAGAAAUGAGCUAAUGAAACAAAUUGAAGAAGGAAAAAAAGCACGGAAGGCACAACAAGUACAACUCAAUCAUUUGAACGACGUGGUGUCACGGCUCACAACCCUCUUGCAGGGUUCAGAUGGUCAUCCUACUAUUCGGUUUUGAGGCAUAAUAUGAGUAGACUUUGCAGCAGACGGACCGUAAUCUGAUUUCCGUAAGAUGGCUUUUGGCAUUGACAUGUGGAUCUUCUAUUUUUUUGUCCGGUAGAUAAUUCAUAGUUUUGCAAAGUUGGGAAGUUUUGGGUUGUCUUCAGCUUUUUGUGUGAAAAUUGGAUGAAUCGUACAUAUAAUUUUAGCACGCGUUACAUAGUAUUUUUGGAAGUUGUAUUAAUUGCUCUGGUGGUAUAUAUAGAUUACCUUUUGUCGUGGUACAUAUUACCAUGGUAAUUUGUACCAUGCAAAAUGUCAUUACAAUGCAUAGUAUAGUAACAAUGUUUUGUGUAUAGAGGACAUUGUUUUGGUAACAUAGUUGGAAUGUAUGGCGUUAUUAUUUGUAAUUAGAAUAUAUUAGUUGGUUUGUAUAUAAGUUUACAUUGUA
Non-coding RNA from Camellia sinensis, 816 nucleotides. NCBI's taxonomy places the organism in Eukaryota, Viridiplantae, Streptophyta, Magnoliopsida, Ericales, Theaceae. The record is from RefSeq and is a predicted model, not a curated record.